GAUAGGUGAGAUGCAUACGCAACCAAAAGUGUAUAAUAUCAAUUUACUACCUCGCAAUAUAAUUUUAUACAAUGUAUAAUAAGAUUUAAAGAUGUAGCUCAUCAACAUUUUCAUAGGGGAUUUUUAAAAUUAAGUAUUGAAAAAUAAAAUAUUUAUAUUAUAAUAUAAAUAAGUCAACGACCAUGCGUGGACAGUAAAACGAAGUACAUGCGAAUGUAGUAGCCGUUUACUAUGAGACUAGGCAUUAUAAUUGAAUAUCAUAGUAUAAAUUGCCAUGAGAGUAGAAGCUUCAGUUUAUGAAGACUUCGAAAUCAUGGUUUUUUAUUUUUAAAGUGAAAUUUUAGUUCAUAGUAAAUAUAUAUAUGUUUUUAAUUAGACUAAAUCAUAGCAUUAAAUUUUUUUAGAUGAAGUAAGCGAUAUUACGAAAUGAUAUAUAGAACAUUUCAGUUAUAACAGUAUACGAAGUAAUCAUCUUCGUUUAACGGACAAUAGUUAAUAAUCAGUUAAUUUUAAAUUCAAUUAUAGAUUAUUUGUGAUAAUACAAACAUUAUUUUUGAAGAUUUGAUUAAAGUCGUUUUUAUUUUUACAGAGAAAAGAUUGAGUAUCGGUAAUUUUAUCAUAUUGUUCGAAUAUAAAGGGAACUAUUUAAAGGUAAUGAAGGUUGCGCCAAAAUGACCGGUUUUCAGCAGCAUAAAUGAAUAAAUUGU
RNAcentral lists this unclassified non-coding RNA (707 nucleotides) under Staphylococcus aureus subsp. aureus USA300_TCH1516. Its description in RNAcentral is "noncoding RNA SprC1". The stretch from base 168 to 317 matches the Rfam family "Small pathogenicity island RNA C (srn_3610)". The record is from RNAcentral. Lineage: Bacteria; Bacillati; Bacillota; Bacilli; Caryophanales; Staphylococcaceae.